UUGAUAAGUUCAGAAUAGAAAAUCCCCCGGGCUUAACCGAGGGAACAGCAUAUAAUANUGUUAAGCUAGAAAUAGGUGAGAGGAAGGUAGAAUUCCAGGUGUAGCGGUGAAAUAGGUAGAGAUCUGGAGGAAAUACCGAUGGCGAAGGCAGCCUUCUGGCAUCAUACUGACACUGAGGUUAGAAAGCGUAGGUAGCAAACAGGAUUAGAUACCCUGGUAGUCCACGCCGUAAACGAUGUUUACUAGUAGAUGGGUCCCUUGAGGACUUAGUGACGCAGCUAACGCAAUAAGUAGACCGCCUGGGGAGUACGGCCGCAAGGUUAAAACUCAAAUGAAUUGACGGGGGCCCGCACAAGCGGUGGAGCAUGUGGUUUAAUUCGAUGCAACGCGAAGAACCUUACCUGGUCUUGUCAUAUCUAGAAUCUUGUAGAGAUACGAGAGUGCCUUCGGGAAUUAGAAUACAGGUGCUGCAUGGCGGUCUUCAGCUCGUGUCGUGAAAUGUUGGGUUAAGUCCCGCAACGAGCGCAACCCUUGUCCUUAGUUACCAGCGGGUUAAGCCCGGAACUAUAAGGAUACUGCCAGUGACAAACUGGAGGAAGGCGGGGACGACGUCAAGUCAUCAUGGCCCUUACGACCAGGGCUACACACGUGCUACAAUGGUAGGUACAGAGGGCAGCUACACAGCGAUGUGAUGCGAAUCUUUCAAAGCCUAUCGUAGUCCAGAUUGGAGUCUGCAACUCGACUCCAUGAAGUAGGAAUCGGUAGUAAUCGCGGAUCAGAAUGCCGCAAGAAUACCUUCAGAGUUUGAUCACGGCCCAGUAAGUCGUAACAAGGUAACCACUAGAGUUUGAUCAUGGCUCAGUAAGUCGUAACAAGGUAACCACUAGAGUGA
RNAcentral lists this ribosomal RNA (892 nucleotides) under Psychrobacter sp. 22F07-MB2-7. RNAcentral describes it as "bacterial SSU rRNA". It matches the Rfam family "Bacterial small subunit ribosomal RNA", at positions 580 to 1533 of the family's 1533-position model. The record is from RNAcentral. Lineage: Bacteria; Pseudomonadati; Pseudomonadota; Gammaproteobacteria; Moraxellales; Moraxellaceae.